Camelina sativa (false flax) is the source of this 174-nucleotide non-coding RNA. Lineage: Eukaryota; Viridiplantae; Streptophyta; Magnoliopsida; Brassicales; Brassicaceae. The record is from RefSeq and is a predicted model, not a curated record.
UCUGGGUCAGGAAAAGGUGUUUUGGACAUGUGUUUCACUACUUCAAAUGACUUACGCUGUUGCGAUUCUGGUUGGAGCCACGUCUCCUUUCAUUUGGAGCAAAGUCAUCUCGGUUGUCGGUCAUGUUAUACUCGCAACAACUUUGUGGACUCGUGCUAAGUCCGUUGACCUGAC